Molecule: ribosomal RNA, 497 nt
Filed under: uncultured bacterium
Lineage: Bacteria
Description: partial 16S ribosomal RNA
Rfam family: Bacterial small subunit ribosomal RNA
Source: RNAcentral
GAUGAACGCUGGCGGCGUGCCUAAUACAUGCAAGUCGAGCGAACAGACGAGGAGCUUGCUCCUCUGACGUUAGCGGCGGACGGGUGAGUAACACGUGGAUAACCUACCUAUAAGACUGGGAUAACUUCGGGAAACCGGAGCUAAUACCGGAUAAUAUAUUGAACCGCAUGGUUCAAUAGUAAAUGACGGUUUUGCUGUCACUUAUAGAUGGAUCCGCGCCGCAUUAGCUAGUUGGUAAGGUAACGGCUUACCAAGGCGACGAUGCGUAGCCGACCUGAGAGCGUGAUCGGCCACACUGGAACUGAGACACGGUCCAGACUCCUACGGGAGGCAGCAGUAGGGAAUCUUCCGCGAUGGGCGAAAGCCUGACGUAGCAACGCCGCGUGAGUGAUGAAGGUCUUCGGAUCGUAAAACGCUGUUAUUAGGGAAGAACAAAUGUGUAAGUAACUAUGCACGUCUUGACGGUACCUAAUCAGAAAGCCACGGCUAACUACGUG